UUCGAUCCGGAUUUCGUAGUUAUCGAUAUAUCAGUUACAGAAGUUACAGCUAUACAUAUUACUACUACUAUUAUACCCAUUACUCAUCAUAUCUAUCAACUGGUGCAAUCGUAGGAGUUGUAUUUGGUGCCCUUAUAGGAGGUGCUGUUUUUUUAACAGGAUGCAUAAUGUGUUGUGUGUUUUGCUUCUGUAGUGGUAAUAAAAGUUCUCGAGGACAAGUUGUUAAUACAAAUCAAGCAGGAAUCUCCACUAUUUCAACAAAUCAGAUGAAUUCAAAUGCUACAUUAAACGAACCCGGUGUGCAGUUUACUCCUUCCCAGUAUUCCAGCCCACGGCAAUACAACACUGAGUAUUCAGCGCCUCCUCCA
Long non-coding RNA from Mytilus californianus (California mussel), 368 nucleotides. RefSeq lists it as uncharacterized. Lineage: Eukaryota; Metazoa; Mollusca; Bivalvia; Mytilida; Mytilidae. The record is from RefSeq and is a predicted model, not a curated record. The transcript has 3 exons.